RNAcentral lists this ribosomal RNA (495 nucleotides) under uncultured bacterium. RNAcentral's name for it is "partial 16S ribosomal RNA". It matches the Rfam family "Bacterial small subunit ribosomal RNA", at positions 28 to 507 of the family's 1533-position model. The record is from RNAcentral.
GACGAACGCUGGCGGCGUGCCUAAUACAUGCAAGUAGAACGCUGAAGGAGGAGCUUGCUUCUAUGGAUGAGUUGCGAACGGGUGAGUAACGCGUAGGUAACCUGCCUGGUAGCGGGGGAUAACUAUUGGAAACGAUAGCUAAUACCGCAUAAUAGCAGUUGUUGCAUGAUAACUGUUUGAAAGGUGCAAUUGCACCACUACCAGAUGGACCUGCGUUGUAUUAGCUAGUUGGUGGGGUAACGGCUCACCAAGGCGACGAUACAUAGCCGACCUGAGAGGGUGAUCAGCCACACUGAGACUGAGACACGGCCCAGACUCCUACGGGAGGCAGCAGUAGGGAAUCUUCGGCAAUGGACGGAAGUCUGACCGAGCAACGCCGCGUGAGUGAAGAAGGUUUUCGGAUCGUAAAGCUCUGUUGUAAGAGAAGAACGAGUGUGAGAGUGGAAAGUUCACACUGUGACGGUAUCUUACCAGAAAGGGACGGCUAACUACGUG